RNAcentral lists this transfer RNA (542 nucleotides) under uncultured Prochlorococcus sp. RNAcentral's name for it is "partial 16S-23S ribosomal RNA intergenic spacer". The stretch from base 212 to 284 matches the Rfam family "tRNA". Lineage: Bacteria; Bacillati; Cyanobacteriota; Cyanophyceae; Synechococcales; Prochlorococcaceae. The record is from RNAcentral.
CAGGGAGACAACAAAAUGUUUAAUAUUAUUAUUUUGUCACCUUAGGUCGAUCGGUAUCUCACGUUUUUAAUUUAUUAAGAAUUUCAUUUCCUAAGUUUUUCUAGGUCACACCCAUUAUUUUUCCUGGGCCAUUAGCUCAGGUGGUUAGAGCGCACCCCUGAUAAGGGUGAGGUCCCUGGUUCAAGUCCAGGAUGGCCCAUAUCUCUAUGUUGGGGGUAUAGCUCAGUUGGUAGAGCGCCUGCUUUGCAAGCAGGAUGUCAGCGGUUCGAGUCCGCUUACCUCCACUGAUCACCACCUCUUCCAUAAUCGGUAGAAAGGAAAUUUUUUGAGUUGUGAUCAAAUUCUGAAAGAAUCUAGCUUCCUAAUGAAAUCAUUAAGAUGCUGGACUCAUUGAAUUAAUUUUCAUUGUUUUCAGAGAACCUUGACAACUGCAUAGAUUAUUUUUAAAGACAAUAAGCAUCUUUAAUGAUGCAGAUUUAUUAUUUGUGCAAAUGCAUUAAUAACAAUUCUAUUAAGCUGAUGCUUCAAAAUUUGAAGUUAUU